GACGGGGGGAGCAAGCGUUGUUCGGAUUUAUUGGGCGUAAAGGGCGCGCAGGCGGUCGGGUAAGUUCGGCGUGAAAGGUUCACGGCUCAACCGGGAAACUGCGUCGAAUACUGCCUGACUUGAGUGCAGGAGAGGAGAGCGGAAUUUCCGGUGUACCGGUGAAAUGGGUAGAUAUCGGAAGGAACACCAGUGGCGAAGGCGGCUCUCUGGCCUGUUACUGACGCUCAGGCGCGAAAGCCAGGGGAGCGAACGGG
This 254-nucleotide ribosomal RNA is filed under the name uncultured bacterium. Its description in RNAcentral is "partial 16S ribosomal RNA". It matches the Rfam family "Bacterial small subunit ribosomal RNA", at positions 524 to 776 of the family's 1533-position model. The record is from RNAcentral.